GCACCACGAUCGCGGACCCGCUUCGCAGGCCAAACGGCGCUUUCGUGCCGCCUUGUCCGUCCGUGGUGACCACGAUCGAUACGCCUCUUCCGUCCGUGACCCACGCACGCAAGCGAGAGAUAUCAACGGAGCCAAUCGAUCUGUGCGCCGGCCUCCCUCCCUCUAUGGUUAGUCUUCUCCUUCCCCUGUGCACCCUGAUCCGCGAGAAUCCUCCUCCAAGCCGCCGCCAUGCGCCACGCGGAAUUCCGUCUGCUGUCGCCCCGGCCAUGCGCUUCAGUUUUGCCUCGCUCGGUGGAUCUACGCCGCCCCCGCCGGAAUCAGCUCUCGCCGUGCCCUCGGAGCGUCCCGCCGGCCGGCCGAUCGCACGGACGCGCAGCUCGACGUGCCAGGGGCGAAUUUCCUUGCGGGUAUUGCACAUGCAUGUGUGCUCACUUUGCCGGGGAUGAACCAUAAAGUCGCGAUUUUUACACAUGGAUGAUCGUGGCUUCCGCCCGGACGUGAUGUGAAGGCAGGCUGCCUUGGAUCGGUAAGUUCCCCUGCCUUGGACGUGAUGUGAAGGCAGGCUGCCCGGAGGAACUCAGUGAUAUUUGUGUCAGAAAGCGGUGGCUUUCUAAUGUCAGCAAUCCAUUUGCUGUCCCGUGGAGCCGAUUGGUCUUUCCUUGUGGAUCUCUCAAACAGCGAGGGCGCAACGCAGCGGGCAGGAAGAUUGUUUAACCAAGUGGACUCCCGGAAGCUUGUUGUCUCCCCCAUUGCCGAUGCCUGACAGUCGUCGCCGCGGCGAAAAGAUCCCUGUCCUUUUUAUCACAAGGCAGUUCAUCAGAGCCCGCCCAAGGUCUCUGGGCUCUGGGGUGCACUCCAAGCUAGUCACAGCCACAGAAGGUGCAAAGCGUGAGCGAAUUUUCUCAUGCCGUGGAUCCCUAGGCCUCCUAGAUCCACCAGCCAGCAAGUCUAGCCCUGAUGCGAUCAAGAACAAACUGCAGUUGAAUCUUUCAGUCUCCCCAUAGUCAUCUGCAUAUAAGCUGACCGGUAGCUUUGUUAUUUCUGUCAUCUCUGCCUAUCAAAUGAAAAGAUACACAAGCUUUGUGUAUUCGCGGAAAAAGUACACUGCCGCUGUCACAAAUAGUGGAGCAGAUUGGUGUACCACCACAGAGUGCCACGAUCCAAACAUAUAGAGAUAUAACGAACAACAAGGUUGGCACUGAUGUUCAGGUACAAAUCGGGAGCAAAGCAAGGGGAUGAGAUACAAGUAGCAGUAGGCGACAUAUGUACCCAGGAACCAAACGUUCCCCUCCUAGGCGACAUGCUCUCAACAUUUUUCAAUCCUUCGAUGAUAUACUAUGCUGCUUCUAGUUCUGAAGAUGUUGGAUACAACCAUACGCUCAGGAAGGCAAAAUUGCUGGUCUCUUUACUGUGAAGAAUUCUGCUCAAUAUAAAUAAGGUAAUGAGUGCUCAAAAAGAAAUUCAAAAUCAUUGUUUUGAGUUUUUUGGAACAGUUCAGCAAAAAAUGAACAUUGUUCAAAACUUUAACACAAUCUAACCCUUCCUAUGCAAUGCCAAUAUGUCCAUGGCUUUUCUGCCACACUGUCCAACGCCAACGGCCUUGACGUUUCUUCCUUGUGCAACGCCACGGCCCUUGGCGUUUGAAGGUUGCAGCAGCAACGUCUAUGGCGUUUCAUACUGCUACAGCAACGCCAUGAUACUUGGCAUUGCUAAACAGGGUUAGAUGUGUUAAAGUUUCCUACGGAGGUCAUUUUGUCUGAACUUUAUCAAAACAUUGAUUUUGGCCAAUGCUACCACCUAGUACGCAUCCUGGUAUCCCAAUGUUUUCACGUUUUGCACAUCAGUUUUCAUGUAUGAGGUAUCACAGAAGAACAGGAACUACAUUUUAUUAAUAUAUUAAAUAUUGUGGGGGCAUUAAAUUUUCUUUAAUGUACUGAUCAGGGCUGAAAUCACUCAUAUGAAACGGUAGUGGAGAUUGUUUUUCAAAUGCACAUCUAAAUGCAGAGUUGCAACAAAACUGCUUUUCCUUCAGAUGAGAAAAUCACAUUAACCAAUCAAUCAAGAAUUACUAAUAUUCUGCUGUUUGGUGUUGCAGAGUAAUCGUUCUGGAUAUAUCCUUUACCAAAUCCGAAAACUGAAUUUAGUGCAAGCAUCUAUCAUCCAAGUCUAAUUCUUGCAUAUUUGCAGGUCAGAACCUGAAUAACUGUAUCAUCGCUUCAGAUGAGCGGCUUCAGCUGUGAUUUCUAACUAACCUUACCAAGCUCAGUUCGUUUCAAUCUGUCUAAUUUGGCAUCCAAUCAUUAAUCUGACGCUCACUUCUUCCCCUUGCCCUUCUUGCCGGGCUUGGGCGUCUUGUCCGCCUUGGCCAGGUCUGCAACCGCCGCCGCCGCCGCCGCCGCCGCCUUGGCCGCCUGGACAACCAGGCACGAUCUGUGGUGAUCUCGCACGAAAGUGGACUGGUAUCCACUCUCGCGGGGCGGAAAGCCGCAGGGGAUGCAGCUCCAGUGCUGCAUCCCCUGGGGCAGAGGGACUCCCGACAUCUGUCCUGGUUCUUGCGCGCUCUCCGACGAGCCGCGUCCUGGUUCUUGCGCCCUCUCGGACUAGCCGCGUCUUGGUUCUUGCGCCCUCUCCGACGAGCCGCGCGCUGGUUCUUGCGCGCGCCCCGACGAGCCGCGCCCUGGUUCUUGCGCGCUCUCCGACGAGCCGCGCCCUGGUUCUUGCGCGCUCCCCGACGAGCCCCGAGCGUAGUCUCCGGUCCGGCCGCUACGGCUCUCUCGCGCUGCGCGUAGACUCUGAUCUUCCUCCUCUGUCUCUGUCUCUCGUCAAGCCCUGCUCUCGAACUAAGGAAGACGAUGCUAUGGGUAGGCAGAGGAAGAGAGGGAAGAGCUCGGCCGGCUUAUAACGGGGGGGAUUUCUUUUUAUCUGAUGAUGAGAACCGGGGAGAGGGAAACAGUCGGGAAAAGAAGUUGCGGUGCUGGCAUGGGCCAGGCCAGUAAAAUGCGGUCACAUUUUUCACCAACGUUACAGAUCUGCCAUUAGAUUACAUUGCACGAAUUUUGACGCACGCUGGUCAUCACGUCACCUGUUUAGAGCAACUCUAGCAGCCCCUUAUCCCGUAAAAUAACCGCCUGUUUAUGCUUUCUCGUGCAAAAAACACAGUAUCGGCCCGCGAACUAUAAAAAAAAUUGCGGGGCACAGAGAAACUUCACCCUCAAUCUUUAGAUUCACAGGGUGGGAGGGCGACCCGAGCUUGACCCCUAUCCGCUGCGAGAUUUGGUGGGAGGGACAUUUUCGCGUGGCAGUUCCCGCCUCCCUUCCCUUUCGCUGCCAACCACCUCCCUCCAUCCAUUCUGGAACACCUUCGCCGGUUUCCCUCCGCCGCCAUGGAAGUCUCCUAGCCGCCGGCCGUCACUGCGGAUGCCAUCCCGAGCCAGUCCUGUCGGCAUAUCUCGUCACGACGAUGUCGCGCAAUCGCCAUUCAAGGCUCCGCCUCGUCGCCCCGCAAGCAGCAGGGCAACAUAGUUGUUCAAGGCGGCGCUCUCGCAGGCCCCGUUAGGAAGACACGCGCGCCCGCCGCCCCAACCACUGCGAAACCGGUACGUCCCGUGCCGGCAAAGAAAGGGAAUGUUGCCGGUGUGAAGCGCAAGAAGACCGCCACAAGAGCGACCCGCCAACACCUCCCCUGAUAGCGUCGGCAAUAACUGCCCCAAGGAUGCCCGCCGAUGGCGUUGCUGCCGUCCCCCUCGAGGUGUUAGACGGAAUGGCCUUGAGCGUUGGUUUGCAUGAUGCGACAGCCGACUUCGUGCAAAUAUUGGACGACAACACCGUCGACAUCGAUCAAGCCCCGAUCGGUGAUUACGGUUACAAUGAGAUGGAUGGUGGCGUGCAGGAGGUUGAUGAGGGGAUGCUCGACGAAGCGCAAGCAAAGUCACGCGCAAGAUCGAGGAACUACACACCAUUGGAAGAUAAAGUCUUGAUCAAGGCUCUGGAAUCGGUGUCUCUUGAUCCGUGCACCGGCACCGACCAAACCGCCAAGUGGUAUUGGCAAAGGAUCGAGGAUCAAUACUUCCGCAUGAUGGCAAAUUAUCCCAACCGGAUGCCACACACCUUUCGGUCUCUUCAAGGUCGUUGGGACAUGAUCAAGCCAAUUUGUAGUCGUUGGGCCUCAUGCUUGCAAUGAGUCCACAAUGCACCUCCAAGAGGAGCCGUUGAAGCCGACUAUGUGAGUUGGUUUUCAUGUUCCAAGUUGUGCAACAAGUCCACAAUCUUUUGUCUCCAUGGGAGAGGUUGCAUAUACAUUGUUUUCAUUUUGUAGAAGAAAAUUGCGCAGAAAGGUACACAGACAUGGAAGCUUCUGUAAAAAGGCAUUUCAACUUGAGCA
Molecule: long non-coding RNA, 4381 nt
Organism: Triticum aestivum (bread wheat)
Lineage: Eukaryota; Viridiplantae; Streptophyta; Magnoliopsida; Poales; Poaceae
Exons: 4
Source: RefSeq, a predicted model, not a curated record